RNAcentral lists this ribosomal RNA (441 nucleotides) under uncultured Sphingobacteriales bacterium. RNAcentral describes it as "bacterial SSU rRNA". It matches the Rfam family "Bacterial small subunit ribosomal RNA", at positions 28 to 466 of the family's 1533-position model. The record is from RNAcentral. Lineage: Bacteria; Pseudomonadati; Bacteroidota; Sphingobacteriia; Sphingobacteriales.
GAUGAACGCUAGCGGAAGGCCUAAUACAUGCAAGUCGAACGGGCAUAUUGAUUUCGGUUGAUAUGUUAGUGGCGCACGGGUGAGUAACGCGUACACAACCUGCCUUAUAUUGGGGGAUAGCCCUGGGAAACUGGGAGUAAUACCGCAUAAUAUUAUUGAGAGGCAUCUUUUGAUAAUUAAAGCUGAGGCGAUAUAAGAUGGGUGUGCGUCUGAUUAGGUAGUUGGUAGGGUAACGGCCUACCAAGCCGACGAUCAGUAGGGGGUGUGAGAGCAUGGCCCCCCACACGGGUACUGAGACACGGACCCGACUCCUACGGGAGGCAGCAGUAAGGAAUAUUGGUCAAUGGAGGGAACUCUGAACCAGCCAUUCCGCGUGAAGGAUGACGGCCCUCUGGGUUGUAAACUUCUUUAGUCUGGGAAGAAAAGUUUGCAUUUAUGCGA